RNAcentral lists this small nuclear RNA (23 nucleotides) under Arabidopsis thaliana (thale cress). Its description in RNAcentral is "snRNA_16547". The record is from RNAcentral. Lineage: Eukaryota; Viridiplantae; Streptophyta; Magnoliopsida; Brassicales; Brassicaceae.
CCCUAGAAGUAGCAGUUCACGCU